UAAGAGGAGGUUUUAGUACGUAGGCGCUGUGGAACUUUAUAGUUCUGAUGAUGCAGUGAAUCGUGCAUGCGGCAAUUCACCCGUAGUAAGGUGACCGUAUCUUUCGAAGAUUUCCUCCCUCU
Drosophila willistoni is the source of this 122-nucleotide regulatory RNA element. It matches the Rfam family "R2 RNA element", at positions 86 to 206 of the family's 212-position model. Rfam says of the family: This family represents the 3' UTR region of the R2 retrotransposable element. The record is from Rfam. Lineage: Eukaryota; Metazoa; Arthropoda; Insecta; Diptera; Drosophilidae.